This 464-nucleotide ribosomal RNA is filed under the name Vreelandella stevensii. Its description in RNAcentral is "partial 16S ribosomal RNA". It matches the Rfam family "Bacterial small subunit ribosomal RNA", at positions 339 to 795 of the family's 1533-position model. The record is from RNAcentral. Lineage: Bacteria; Pseudomonadati; Pseudomonadota; Gammaproteobacteria; Oceanospirillales; Halomonadaceae.
CUACGGGUGGCAGCAGUGGGGAAUAUUGGACAAUGGGCGAAAGCCUGAUCCAGCCAUGCCGCGUGUGUGAAGAAGGCCUUCGGGUUGUAAAGCACUUUCAGUGGGGAAGAAAGCCUUGGGGCUAAUACCCUCGAGGAAGGACAUCACCCACAGAAGAAGCACCGGCUAACUCCGUGCCAGCAGCCGCGGUAAUACGGAGGGUGCGAGCGUUAAUCGGAAUUACUGGGCGUAAAGCGCGCGUAGGCGGUCUGAUAAGCCGGUUGUGAAAGCCCCGGGCUCAACCUGGGAACGGCAUCCGGAACUGUCAGGCUAGAGUGCAGGAGAGGAAGGUAGAAUUCCCGGUGUAGCGGUGAAAUGCGUAGAGAUCGGGAGGAAUACCAGUGGCGAAGGCGGCCUUCUGGACUGACACUGACGCUGAGGUGCGAAAGCGUGGGUAGCAAACAGGAUUAGAUCCCCCAGUAGUC